AGUGGCGAACGGGUGAGUAAUGCAUCGGAACGUACCGUGUAGUGGGGGAUAACGUAGCGAAAGUUACGCUAAUACCGCAUACGCCCUGAGGGGGAAAGUGGGGGACCGCAAGGCCUCACGCUAUAUGAGCGGCCGAUGUCGGAUUAGCUAGUUGGUAGGGUAAAGGCCUACCAAGGCGACGAUCCGUAGCGGGUCUGAGAGGAUGAUCCGCCACACUGGGACUGAGACACGGCCCACACUCCUACGGGAGGCAGCAGUGGGGAAUUUUGGACAAUGGGCGCAAGCCUGAUCCAGCCAUGCCGCGUGAGUGAAGAAGGCCUUCGGGUUGUAAAGCUCUUUCAGACGGAAAGAAAUCUCUCGGGAUAACACCCUGGGAGGAUGACGGUACCGUAAAAAGAAGCACCGGCUAACUACGUGCCAGCAGCCGCGGUAAUACGUAGGGUGCGAGCGUUAAUCGGAAUUACUGGGCGUAAAGCGUGCGCAGGCGGUGAUGUAAGACAGAUGUGAAAUCCCCGGGCUCAACCUGGGAACUGCAUUAGUGACUGCAUAGCUGGAGUACGGCAGAGGGGGAUGGAAUUCCGCGUGUAGCAGUGAAAUGCGUAGAUAUGCGGAGGGACACCGAUGGCGAAGGCAAUCCCCUGGGUCUGUACUGACGCUCAUGCACGAAGCGUGG
RNAcentral lists this ribosomal RNA (673 nucleotides) under uncultured Zoogloea sp. Its description in RNAcentral is "bacterial SSU rRNA". It matches the Rfam family "Bacterial small subunit ribosomal RNA", at positions 94 to 764 of the family's 1533-position model. The record is from RNAcentral. Lineage: Bacteria; Pseudomonadati; Pseudomonadota; Betaproteobacteria; Rhodocyclales; Zoogloeaceae.